GACGAACGCUGGCGGCGUGCUUAACACAUGCAAGUCGAACGGAAAGGCCCUGCUUUUGUGGGGUGCUCGAGUGGCGAACGGGUGAGUAACACGUGAGUAACCUGCCCUUGACUUUGGGAUAACUUCAGGAAACUGGGGCUAAUACCGGAUAGGAGCUCCUGCUGCAUGGUGGGGGUUGGAAAGUUUCGGCGGUUGGGGAUGGACUCGCGGCUUAUCAGCUUGUUGGUGGGGUAGUGGCUUACCAAGGCUUUGACGGGUAGCCGGACUGAGAGGGUGACCGGACACAUUGGGGCUGAGAUACAGGCCAGACUCCUACGGGAGGCAGCAGUGGGGAAAAUUGCACAAUGGGCGGGAGCCUGAUGCAGCAACGCCGCGUGCGGGAUGACGGCCUUCGGGGUGUAUACAGCUUUCGCCGGUGAGGAAGCGUGAGUGACGGUAAUGGGUAAAGAAGCACCGGCUAACUACGUG
Molecule: ribosomal RNA, 468 nt
Filed under: uncultured bacterium
Lineage: Bacteria
Description: partial 16S ribosomal RNA
Rfam family: Bacterial small subunit ribosomal RNA
Source: RNAcentral